GAUGAACGCUGGCGGCGUGCUUAACACAUGCAAGUCGAACGGAAAGGCUCCUGCUUGCUGGGGUACUCGAGUGGCGAACGGGUGAGUAACACGUGGGUGAUCUGCCCUGCACUUCGGGAUAAGCCUGGGAAACUGGGUCUAAUACCGGAUAGGACGAUGGUUUGGAUGCCAUUGUGGAAAGUUUUUCGGUGUGGGAUGAGCUCGCGGCCUAUCAGCUUGUUGGUGGGGUACUGGCCUACCAAGGCGUCGACGGGUAGCCGGCCUGAGAGGGUGUACGGCCACAUUGGGACUGAGAUACGGCCCAGACGCCUACGGGAGGCAGCAGUGGGGAAUAUUGCACAAUGGGCGCAAGCCUGAUGCAGCGACGCCGCGUGGGGGAUGACGGCCUUCGGGUUGUAAACUGCUUUCGUCAGGGACGAAGCGAAAGUGACGGUACCUGGAUAAGAAGCACCGGCUAACUACGUG
This 465-nucleotide ribosomal RNA is filed under the name uncultured bacterium. RNAcentral's name for it is "partial 16S ribosomal RNA". It matches the Rfam family "Bacterial small subunit ribosomal RNA", at positions 28 to 507 of the family's 1533-position model. The record is from RNAcentral.